CGCUUUAUUAAAGGGGCGGGGAGAGUGACGUCAUCGCGGGGAGGUGACGUCACGGGGAGGGGCUGGGGCUCCCAGUACAAACCAGUCUAAACCAGUAUGGACCAGUAUGGACCAGUAUGGACCAGUAAUGGCUUCCAUUGCUCCCAGUCCCCUCCCAGUAUAAACCAGUGCUCCCAGUAUGAACCAGUAACCGCUCCCAGUGCUCCCAGUAUAAACCAGUAUGAACCAGUAUGGCUCCCAGUACAAACCAGUAUGGACCAGUAUGGCUCCCAGUGCUCCCAGUAUGACCCAAACCCCCUCCCAGUACAAACCAGUGCUCCCAGUAUGACCCGAAAUGGCUCCCAGUGCUCCCAGUAUGAACCAGUAUGGCUCCCAGUAUUCCCAGUAUGGCUCCCAGUGCUCCCAGUAUGGACCAGUAUGGCUCCCAGUAUGAACCAGUAUGAACUAGUAUGGAUCCCAGUAUUCCCAGUAUGGCUCCCAGUAUGACCCAGUAUGGCUCCCAGUGCUCCCAGUACAAACCAGUAUGGCUCCCAGUGCUCCCAGUAUGACCCAAAACCCCUCCCAGUAAAAACCAGUAUGACCCGAAAUGGCUCCCAGUACAAACCAGUGCUCCCAGUACGACCCAAACCCCCUCCCAGUACAAACCAGUGCUCCCAGUACAAACCAGUGCUCCCAGUACAAACCAG
RNAcentral lists this long non-coding RNA (686 nucleotides) under Junco hyemalis (dark-eyed junco). RNAcentral's name for it is "lncRNA (ENSJHYG00000002716.1)". The record is from RNAcentral. Lineage: Eukaryota; Metazoa; Chordata; Aves; Passeriformes; Passerellidae.